Molecule: long non-coding RNA, 475 nt
Organism: Galleria mellonella (greater wax moth)
Lineage: Eukaryota; Metazoa; Arthropoda; Insecta; Lepidoptera; Pyralidae
Exons: 2
Source: RefSeq, a predicted model, not a curated record
UUCAACUUUAGCAUGAAUUUAUUGAUGACUAUUCAAAUCAUCACCCGACUCAUUCUCUAAUGGUUACAGGUUCGAUUCCUGCACAAUACAAAUAUUUGUAUUCGUAAAUAUGUCUUAUUGUAUAGAUAAAUCUGAGUAAUGUACAUGUUUAUAUCCAGUUGCUAGACUACCCGUAUUGUGGAAAACUCCUUUUCAUGGUUUUUCGACGAAUUUAUUUUCAAAUUUUAAUAUCCAAUUACAUUAGCAAAACACUCCUUUAAAAGAAUUCCAAUGGAGACGAUUCUGAGACGCCAUUUCUCAAUAGAUGUAAAGUAAUAAAACUAACAAAAGGCUGGGAGAAGUUUGACGGCAUCAAGACUAAACCGUAUCCAAUGUGCUGCGACUUUGCUGUGUUCACUACUGACGAUGCGGAUUAUUAAAAUUAAUUUAUUUAUUUAUUAAAAUUUAAAUAAUAUACAUAUUUUUAUUAUUGAAA